This 250-nucleotide long non-coding RNA is filed under the name Brachypodium distachyon (stiff brome). Its description in RNAcentral is "long non-coding RNA (BDIS_LNC003567)". Lineage: Eukaryota; Viridiplantae; Streptophyta; Magnoliopsida; Poales; Poaceae. The record is from RNAcentral.
AACGACGGAGCCGAAGGCAACAAGCCGGAGCUGACGCUGCUGGGCUACUGGUCGAGCCCGUUCGCGAUGCGCGCCCGCAUCGCGCUCAACCUGAAGCGCCUCCCGUACGAGUACAUCGAGGAGGUCGGCCUCUUCGACGGCAAGAGCGACCUCCUCCUCGCCUCCAACCCCGUCAAGAAAAAAAUCCCCGUGCUCAUCCACAACGGGAACCCCAUCCCGGAGUCGCAGAUCAUCGUGCAGUACCUCGACG